Molecule: long non-coding RNA, 901 nt
Organism: Ananas comosus (pineapple)
Lineage: Eukaryota; Viridiplantae; Streptophyta; Magnoliopsida; Poales; Bromeliaceae
Exons: 4
Source: RefSeq, a predicted model, not a curated record
CCUAUAUAAACCCAUCGACGACGCUUCGGGGUUUGAAGUGGCGUUUAUCGCCGUUCGAGAGAAUUAGGGCAACGAACGAGCCCUUUGAUGAGUUGAGCCCUUUCUCUUCUCCCUUUUAGGGUUCGAUUUUUCCAGGGGGCGAAAUUAAAUAAUUCAGGAGAUUAUGAGUCGCUUCGCCUCUCUUUUACUCUCGUGAGGGAAAGGGGAGGUCCUAUGAUGGCAUGAAAUCUUUGAGACCUGAUACUCAUCUUGAUGAGAACUAUAAGCAUAAAUCUGAGGACCCAAUCCGAAAAAAAAAGGGAGAAAAAAGAGGUUUUUGAUUGGCGCAAAUUUAACGCCGAACGCGAGACUUGUUAUCGGCACGAAGGUGAAGAUCUCGAAAGAGGAAGGGUGGAGUGUGACUUCAAUAGGAUCUGAAUUUGGAGUCAUUAGUUGCAGUAGUUCUGCUUGGUUUAGAUAGACUGCGUAGUCGUCGGCGUAGCCAAUGUUCUUUGUUUCUUUCUUCUGGCUCCACUUGAUGUCCGAGACAUGGACACGGGCGGAGACCGGCUUGUAACAAUCUGGGUAGCCUCUUAUUCUGUUCUCUUCCGGAUCCCAGCCUGCUCCCUGGCAAUUGAAGGCCCCGACGACUGCUCCAAACUGCGCAUGCGGUGUUACGUCAGAGGAGUUGAUGAAGAUCAGAAAAAAUUUCUGCAUGUAUUCUGAAUCAGGGACUUGGAACCAAGAAACCAAGUAUAUUGGAACAAAGGCUGUGAGGACACAUCACAGUUGAGAGAAUACAUACCACAUACAACAGAAGAGUUCGAUAAAUCGAGAACCGAGAAGUUCGUACUCCAUAAGCUUGUAAUUGCAUGAAAAAAGUAUCAAUAAAUUAACCUGUGUACCUUGUUUAUGUUCCAAA